AGUGAACGCUGGCGGUAGGCCUAACACAUGCAAGUCGAACGGCAGCACAGUAAGAGCUUGCUCUUACGGGUGGCGAGUGGCGGGCGGGUGAGGAAUACAUCGGAAUCUACUUUUUCGUGGGGGAUAACGUAGGGAAACUUACGCUAAUACCGCAUACGACCUACGGGUGAAAGCAGGGGAUCUUCGGACCUUGCGCGAUUGAAUGAGCCGAUGUCGGAUUAGCUAGUUGGCGGGGUAAAGGCCCACCAAGGCGACGAUCCGUAGCUGGUCUGAGAGGAUGAUCAGCCACACUGGAACUUGGACACGGUCCAAACUCCUACGGGAGGCAGCAGUGGGGAAUAUUGGACAAUGGGCGCAAGCCUGGUCCAGCCAUACCGCGUGGGUGAAGAAGGCCUUCGGGUUGUAAAGCCCUUUUGUUGGGAAAGAAAAGCAGCAGGUUAAUACCCCGCUGUUCUGACGGUACCCAAAGAAUAAGCACCGGCUAACUUCGUG
Molecule: ribosomal RNA, 492 nt
Filed under: uncultured bacterium
Lineage: Bacteria
Description: partial 16S ribosomal RNA
Rfam family: Bacterial small subunit ribosomal RNA
Source: RNAcentral